This 253-nucleotide ribosomal RNA is filed under the name uncultured bacterium. RNAcentral's name for it is "partial 16S ribosomal RNA". It matches the Rfam family "Bacterial small subunit ribosomal RNA", at positions 524 to 776 of the family's 1533-position model. The record is from RNAcentral.
UACGGGGGGGGCAAGCGUUGUUCGGAAUUACUGGGCGUAAAGGGCUCGUAGGCGGCCAACUAAGUCGGAUGUGAAAUCCCCAGGCUUAACCUGGGAACUGCAUCCGAUACUGGAUGGCUUGAAUUCGGGAGAGGGAUGCAGAAUUCCAGGUGUAGCGGUGAAAUGCGUAGAUAUCUGGAGGAAUACCGGUGGCGAAGGCGGCAUCCUGGACCGGCAUUGACGCUGAUGAGCGAAAGCUAGGGGAGCAAACGGG